CUGAGGGGAACAGAUAGUACCUCAGUGACCAGAGUGUUGGAUCAGCUCUAGGCUACUAGUACUUUGUCACAAACUGGUAUGCAGUUAAUGAAUCUUCUGAGCACAGAGAAGAGCCUUCUGUCACUUGGGUGAGAUGAGUUCAAUGUUCCACUAAUAAAGCAUCAUGCUGAAUAGGAUGACCUUUGCGGUAAGGAAAGGCAAAUACAGUGCAGCGUAUCUGACAGCAUUGGGAGACGCCUAAGAAAUCUGGAGAAGUAAAAGUGAAGAAAAUCCAUGGCUCCACCCAUUGUAGGGGACCCAAAACAGUUAUAUUGGCUGAUGCCAUUAAAGGGUCCACGCUGCGACAAAUGCGUCCUCUUGAAAGCUGGCUGGUUAUUAUUGUGCUCUGGUCCUGGGGGGAGCAGGACAUAGAGUGCAACUUUCUCCGUUGGUAGCUAGCAGGAUCUUCCCUGCUCUUGGGAGGAUGAGAAUCCAGAGCACAGACACUUGUCAGCAGCUUCACUGUGAUCAGAGAUGAGGAUGCAAAGGCCAAAAGUCUGCACUGUGAGCCAAGAAAAAGGACCCCUGCAGAAUCCUCUUGUCUUUAUUGUGGGUCCCACUUGGGGCUCUGCCCAAGCUCAGUCAAAAUAAAAUACACCUUAGGGUGGCACUUCCAGGCUUCAUUUAAGCAGGAGAGUUGGUUAACCAGGGUUCAUUAAAACAGUGUUGUACUGUAACUUACAGGGCUAAUUACCUGAAACAUGCCAGAAAAAUGAUCCAUACUGGCUGUGGACCUUAAAUAUUUUUAACAAAGCCUCCCAUGAACUCUCUAUCAGGUUUCCCAACUGAAUCUCUCAGUCCCAGGCCUAGAGUGCCUGGCAUAACGUCCAUUUCAGUUAGCGGUCAGGCAGCUGCUAAACAGCUAAGUUCUUGCCUUUGGGCUGGCUUUUGGAAGACCCUAGAUGUUUAAGCUUUUGGGUAGAACAUGGACUCUGCUGUGGCAGGCUGUGUGCUAUGGUAAAAGCUAAAGGUAUAACAACUGACAUUUUUGGAGAGUUUUAAGGUCUGUUUUUCUCACUCUGAUGCUGGGAGAAAUGAUUUUGAAUGGGCUUUUUAAAGACUAAAGUCAGGGAUUUUUACAGUCAAUUGUAGCGAU
Chelonia mydas (Green sea turtle) is the source of this 1135-nucleotide long non-coding RNA. RefSeq lists it as uncharacterized. The transcript is spliced from 3 exons. The record is from RefSeq and is a predicted model, not a curated record. NCBI's taxonomy places the organism in Eukaryota, Metazoa, Chordata, Testudines, Cheloniidae.